AGGUUUCCGUAGGUGAACCUGCGGAAGGAUCAUUACUGAGUGAGGGCCCUCUGGGUCCAACCUCCCACCCGUGUUUAUUGUACCUUGUUGCUUCGGUGCGCCCGCCUCACGGCCGCCGGGGGGCUUCUGCCCCCGGGUCCGCGCGCACCGGAGACACUAUUGAACUCUGUCUGAAGAUUGCAGUCUGAGCAUAAACUAAAUAAGUUAAAACUUUCAACAACGGAUCUCUUGGUUCCGGCAUCGAUGAAGAACGCAGCGAAAUGCGAUAACUAAUGUGAAUUGCAGAAUUCAGUGAAUCAUCGAGUCUUUGAACGCACAUUGCGCCCCCUGGUAUUCCGGGGGGCAUGCCUGUCCGAGCGUCAUUGCUGCCCUCAAGCACGGCUUGUGUGUUGGGCUCCGUCCCCCCGGGGACGGGUCCGAAAGGCAGCGGCGGCACCGAGUCCGGUCCUCGAGCGUAUGGGGCUUUGUCACCCGCUCUGUAGGCCCGGCCGGCGCCAGCCGACAACCAAUCAUCCUUUUUUCAGGUUGACCUCGGAUCAGGUAGGGAUACCCGCUGAACU
RNAcentral lists this ribosomal RNA (560 nucleotides) under Penicillium glabrum. RNAcentral describes it as "eukaryotic LSU rRNA". The stretch from base 209 to 362 matches the Rfam family "5.8S ribosomal RNA". Lineage: Eukaryota; Fungi; Ascomycota; Eurotiomycetes; Eurotiales; Aspergillaceae. The record is from RNAcentral.